This 1282-nucleotide long non-coding RNA is filed under the name Nicotiana benthamiana. RNAcentral's name for it is "long non-coding RNA (NBEN_LNC007104)". Lineage: Eukaryota; Viridiplantae; Streptophyta; Magnoliopsida; Solanales; Solanaceae. The record is from RNAcentral.
GUAUAUGAUGACCAGCAGGCCAAACUUUAUUUUCCAUCACCAGAAAGGAAAUCACCUACUUACGUCUCCGCAAAUAAAAACUCAUGGAGCUUUCACUAUGACAAAUCACCGGAGAAGUCUCCUUUGUCAUCAGAAAUCUUUGUGGAAAGGCACUCUCCUCAAUUAUCUGAAAACUUGGCUGCCUCUGGUAACGAUUCACGACCAGAGGAUGUUGUGCCAACCUUUGACGAUUCUGAUUGUAUGAAUUCCGAAAGUGACAGCGAGAUGGUCCGCUCCCCGAUUGGGAGGUCCAAAGAUAUUCAAAAUGUGUCCUAUGAAAAUGCAUGGAAUCAUGACUCACCAAGAUCCUCCUCCUUGUCCGACAAAAUGGUGGCCGGAGGAGUGCAAAGACAAGUCAAAGGUGAUAAAAGUGACUCACUUAGUUUCAGCUCAGAAGAUGAGCAUAAGCAUAAAAAAUCCCAAGAUAGAAAGGACGACGGCAGUGCCCCAGCUUUGCCCGGGACACAGACAGAUGAUGCUAGUUUAGCUUCUUCAGUCUCUGGUUUCGAAAAGGAAUUGACAUUUGGGAAGUUAACAGGUGGCCUUAAGCACAAAGGUCAUAUCCCUCCACCUUACUUAAGGAGCCAGUUAAAUAAUGUUUCAUCUUCAGUAGAGAAACCUCAGGAAAGUCCCGAGUUGAGGUCACAAGCUGUUGCCCCCCCUAAGAGUUCCGUUGGUUUAGGAGUGAGGAUGAAAAGAGACGAGAAGUCAAGCUCAAGAUUGGAAGGUACCCGUUCUGAUUCAGAUACUGACAGUUCUGAUGAGGAUUUUUCACAAGAGACUUCAAGUUACAGACAAAAAACAGGAAGAAAAGUUAAUACCAAACAUGCGGUCUUACGAGGUUCAACUACAUAUUUUGAUUCUGAUAGCAGUGAUUCAGAGGUUGCUCCUAAAGAGCAAUCUCUUGCUGGUAGAAGUCAAUUGGGUAGUGGAUUCUCUCGUAGGACUAAAGCCUCUUCCUCCAGCUUAGAUACAAACUUUUCCUCUAAGUUCAAAAUGAGCUAUGAGGCAGCUGUUAAUUCCGACUCGGGUUCAGACAGAAAAUCCAGCAGGAACUCAUUCUCUAAAGUACAGGAACCCCAGAGACCUGUCAUAGCUAUGAAGCAGCUGUUAAUUCCGACUCGGGUUCAGACAGAAAAUCCAGCAAGAACUCAUUCAUUGCUAAAGUAAAGGAACAGCAGAAACCUGUCGUGAAUUCUUAUGUUGCUGAUACACAAGUACCGCAGAGACUGACCAGGAAUUU